Molecule: long non-coding RNA, 294 nt
Filed under: Mytilus galloprovincialis (Mediterranean mussel)
Lineage: Eukaryota; Metazoa; Mollusca; Bivalvia; Mytilida; Mytilidae
Source: RNAcentral
AAAUUUGUUUAAAUGUAAACGUUUAGUUAUUUUUUGGAAGGUAUAAUGCCUCUGCUACAUACAUAUGGGCUUAUUUUGGCAUUGCAAUGCACAUAUAUCGGGUACUUGCAUCAUUAAGUCAUGCUAAAUUACUGAAAUCUUCACAAUUUCAGCAUUUUAGUUAAAUUUUAGACGGUUUCCGUCUUAAUUGAAAGUGGCCGCAUUCGUGUUCAUUCUUGAUAUUGAAAUGUAAGUUGUGUUUAAUGAUAAAACAUAACAUAUAUAAAGCUCGAGGAUGAACACGGACGCGGCCAC